GAUGGACUCUCCACUAGCACCAAACAGCACGAAGGCAUCUUCAUUCAAUUUUUUUAUUUCCUGCAGACCCUGCAAUAGUUUGUAAAAGUGUGAACCAUAAGUGGUAUCUAAUAUCCAAGAAUUUGAAGUUGAAGUAUUCCAUAAUAAAUUUAUUUGUAUCAUAUACAAACCUACAGCAAUACUUGCUUCUUUUUGCUUCAAACAUGCAAAGUAGUCCUUGCAAUUCGUCUUCUAAUGCCCAUCCUUACCAUAGUGAUAACAA
RNAcentral lists this long non-coding RNA (262 nucleotides) under Elaeis guineensis (African oil palm). RNAcentral describes it as "long non-coding RNA (EGUI_LNC053618)". Lineage: Eukaryota; Viridiplantae; Streptophyta; Magnoliopsida; Arecales; Arecaceae. The record is from RNAcentral.